This is a non-coding RNA of Pelobates cultripes (western spadefoot toad), 250 nucleotides long. NCBI's taxonomy places the organism in Eukaryota, Metazoa, Chordata, Amphibia, Anura, Pelobatidae. The record is from the annotation of a GenBank genome assembly.
GGGAGGCAUCAGGGCAGUUGAGGUUGUUAAUUGGGAUGAUAAAGUCCCCAAGUAUGAGGGAAGGAGUGCUAGAGGAGAGAAAGUGGGUUAGCAAGGAAGAAAAGUGUUCAAUGAAUAGCCUAGGAUGACGGGGGGGGGGGCGAUAGAUAAAGGUAAUUCUGAAAGGAGUGGGCUUAAAUAUGCGGACAGUGUGAACUUCAAAGGAAGUAAAGGAUAGGGCAGGGAGGAUAGGUUGAAAGGUACAUUGAGG